AUGUGCCAUACAGAGGACGAAGAGCAUUUAGCACAACUUGAGACUGAAUUCCUUAUGACACUCUCUCUGUCCCAUGCCCAUCAGCCCGAAAGUCAGUUUGCCUGCUGUAUUUGUAGUCAUUGUUUUCCUUCUGGACUGUUCAGAGAGGAAAAGGUCAAUGUUGGAUGUGUGCCAAAGAAGGUGAUGUGGAACACGGCGGUGCACGCAGAGUUUGUCCAUGACCACGCUGACUAUGGCUUUGAAACUGCGGGUGUCAAGUUCAACUGGAGAACAAUCAAGGAGAAGCGAGACGCGUAUGUGCAGCGCCUCAAUGACAUCUACGAGAACAAUGUGAAGAAGGCUCACAUUGACAUCAUCCGGGGCUAUGGCAAGUUCACCGCUGAUCCCGAGCCAACCAUCGAAGUGAACGGGAAAAAGUACACGGCUCCUCACAUCCUUAUAGCCACGGGAGGGCGCCCAGCUGUCCCUUCCGACAGCGAAAUUCCUGGUGCCAGCCUGGGGAUGACCAGUGACGGCUUCUUCGACCUGGAGGAGCUGCCCAGGCGCAGCGUCGUCGUCGGGGCCGGCUACAUCGCGGUGGAGAUGGUGGGGAUCCUCUCCACGCUGGGCUCCAAGUCCUCGCUGCUCAUCCGCCACGACAAGGUGCUGCGAACCUUUGACUCCCUGAUCAGCUCCAACUGCACCCAGGAGCUGGAGAACACCGGGGUGGAUGUCUGGAAGCACACACAGGUCAAGAGGGUCACCAAGUCUCCGUGUGGGCUGCUGGAUGUGACAGUGGCCUCAGUGGCACCUGGCCACAAGCCGACAGAGGCGGUGAUUCGGGAUGUGGACUGCCUGCUGUGGGCCGUGGGGCGGGAGCCCAGCUCUGACGGGCUGGGCCUGGAGCGAGUGGUGAGAUUUGGGGUUCCAUUGGGUCUCCAGAGGCUGUCACAGGGGCCCCACGAGCCCUCCCAUCCCUGCUGGAGCAUAUGUGUCUGCUGUUUGCCAUGGCAGGGUGUGCGGGUGGAUGCCAAGGGCCACGUGGUGGUGGAUGAAUACCAGAACACCACCAGGAGAGGGAUCUACGCCGUUGGGGAUGUGUGUGGGAGAGCCCUCCUCACCCCAGGUACUGCAGCCCUGCCCCCUCCCCUGCUCAGCUCUGUGGUGCCACAUGGCUCAGGGUCCCUGUCCCUCCCUGUCCCUGCAGUGGCCAUUGCAGCUGGCAGGAAGCUGGCCCACAGGCUCUUCGAGGGCAGGCAGGAUUCCCGGCUGGACUACGAGAACAUCCCCACGGUCGUCUUCAGCCACCCACCCAUCGGCACCGUGGGGCUCACUGAAGAGGAGGCUGUGGCCAUACAUGGGAAGGACAAGGUGAAGAUCUACAACACAUCCUUCACUCCCCUGUACCACGCUGUCACCCAGAGGAAGGUGAAGUGUGUCAUGAAGCUGGUGUGCACUGGCAAGGAGGAGAAGAUGGUGCCGCCGGCAUUCCAAAGAGAUGGAAGCAUCCUGGGACACGGAUCGGCCCUGCCGCUCAUGGAGCCGUUUUUAAAACUAAAAGGACAAUAUUCUGCAAUGAAUCCGUGAUGAGGAUUCCAUGCUGAUGUUCCACGGGGAAUGGGGGAAGCAGAAAGCGAUCCCCUGCAAGUCUCAGUUCCCUGCAAGUCUCACUUCCCUGCGCUGUGGAUAUUUUGUUGCUUCCAUGAGUAACACUUUUUCAUCUGAAGCUCCUUGGAUUCCAAAGUGAACUCGCCACCUUUUGGGCUUCCAGGCAGAGGGAAUGUGAAUAUAGGGAAGUGAUGGGGAGACAAAACUGCAGCGGUGUGUGUGUGCAGGGAGAGCUGGGGUAGGAAUUCUAGACAAAAUCCUCUUAUCUGGAUGCAUGAUCCUCUCUUGCUCUGAGGUUUCUCUGUCUGUGGCUUUUUAGUGCAUCCAGCUCCAUGUCCCCAGUCCAACAUCCUGGAUUCUGGGAUUUCAUCUGCUGCAUCACACAGGGCAAAACUGCUGUGUGUGGCUGGAACUUCUCAGCCUCCAUUUACAGCACAUGAUGAUGCCAUACAGAGUUGUUACAAUUCCACGCGGAGUUAUGCUGGAAAACAAUUUGUUGGUUUCAAUUGAUAUUGGGAUAUUUGUUUGUUGUCUCAAAUUUAAAUGAUUUGUUAAAGGAUUAAUUUUUAAACUAUGCCAGGAAUCAAAAGGGGAGUGUAAAAACAGAGAAUUUAUUCUUAUUAAGGAAUGAUUCCUACAUCCAUGAAAUCAUUAGUUGGAAGCCUGUUCUCCUAGAAUCUGUCUUUGGAAUGCUGCUUUUCUUUCCAGAAAAACCUGAUGCAGAGGCAGUUCCUGAUGUAAAAGCUGGAAUCUCUGGAGAGCCUGGACCUGAAUGCUGGAGCUCAGCAGGUAGGAGCAGAGUCUGGGAGAUGCCACUGCUGGGAGCACUCGGAGCUCUGGGGGAAUCUGGAUUCUGAUGGAUGGGGGCGUGUCAGGCGUGGCCCCUGCAGAAGUAACUGUGACUUCCUGACCCUUGUAAUGAGCUUCCCAAGGCCAAGGGAUGCCUCAAGCAGAGCAGGGAGGCUCUGCAAUGGAACAUAGCCCAGAAACUCUUCCAGCCGGGCACCCCCCAAAGCCCCGGGGCUUGGCGCCUGGCUUUGGGCUGGGCUCUCGGCUCCCUCCUUCCUCCUGUCCCUCCUCCCUGCCUGAGGCAGGAGCCGCAGGGGCUGCGGGAGCAAAGGCUGCAGCCUCUCCUCGCUGCUGCCUGCGGAGCCAGAGGCGGCGGCGGAGCUGUAAGCGGGAUCAAACCCCAGCAC
This is a non-coding RNA of Agelaius phoeniceus (red-winged blackbird), 2783 nucleotides long. NCBI's taxonomy places the organism in Eukaryota, Metazoa, Chordata, Aves, Passeriformes, Icteridae. The record is from RefSeq and is a predicted model, not a curated record.